Molecule: microRNA, 23 nt
Filed under: Schistosoma japonicum
Lineage: Eukaryota; Metazoa; Platyhelminthes; Trematoda; Strigeidida; Schistosomatidae
Description: sja-miR-2162-5p
Source: miRBase by way of RNAcentral
AGUGAGAUUGUUGCAUAUUUACA